CGCAGAGCAACAUCCAGGCGGAACUGGGGCGUCGCCGGCUCCAGGGACCAACACACCCGGUGUGAAAAGGUGGUGGCACGCGGAGCGGUGCGCAUGCGCGGGCAGUUCUCGGGGUGAAGGGUUGAGAGCCUGACCGGGCGGCCAGGUGGGCUGGAGCGGAGCAGCGUCAGGAUGGACGAGGACGUGCUGCCCGCCCUGAAGGUCCUCAUCAUCGGCGAGAGCGGCGUCGGCAAGUCCAGGCGCGAGGGGAGUGAUACUGACAAUAGUUAGACUUGAGUGUGUGGCGCAGACAUGGAGCUCGCGGUGUAGGAAGAGCGUCCUGAUUUCGUCCAGGUGGAUCACUGCCUAGGAAGGCUCUGCGAGAGGACUUUUGAAGAUGAGCUCGAAGUACAGUGUUGAUUUAAUUGAGGUUCUUCCACUACACCACAGUCUUUUAAGUGAUUUCUUGUUCUUCAUUCCUCUCCCGCAAAGGUAUGUGGAUCUAAUCUGUUCCAAACUUUUCUUCCAUACUUAGUAGUGAGUUGUCAGAUGCUCACUGCAGUAGUUGAACACCUUUAAUACCUCUUUCAAGAAGGAUGGCAUUUGUGAAAAAGUGUCUUAUUUUUCUAGCAAGAUAAACAUUUUUUAUGUUAUGCUAUGGAAAAUAAACCUUGAUACAUAUAUUUCUGUGUAAGAUGAAAACAAAUAAUUCCACUAAAAUGGAAAUAGAUGAUUUUAAAGUGAAUUAGCAUAAAAACAUAGGUCAUGGAUAUAAUCUGAAAGGGUUCUAGCCAGAAGUUGGUUUCUGUUUUUGCAGAAACCCAGUGUGGCAAUAAGACAUCACUUGUGUUGUUGAAAAAUCAUUGCACAAGAGUCUUUAAUUCAAAUUUGAGUGUUAUUAUUCCAGUUAAUUUCAGACUUGGAGAAUCAACUACGUGUGAGAUCAGGAUUUUGAAAUCAAUGCUUCCAUUUAUGUGACCUUAUGUGAACACUGAAGGCCUUCAUUUUUCACUUUGACAAAUGAGGGUAGAAUAGAAAUCUCUCAAACCCUAUCUGAUGUUAAAUAUGUCAAAUUCUUUGUUUCUGUGGCUGGGCAUAGUGAACUAAAAUAGCGAAGUGUUUCAGAAAGGGUUAGAGAAACCUAUUAUCCAAAUUGCUUUCCCUCCAAUGAUCUUUUUAUCCCCUUUCUUUUUGGCCAGUUUCAUACCGGGGAUCGAACUGGUGCUGCAGAGUAUGCAGGCAGCUUUGCAGCCCAGCACUUAACCGCUGUGCCACCAGAGGAGGCCCUGCUUUUAAAGUUAUUUUAUGUUCCAGAAGUGAUAUGACCUUUACUGUAACAGCACAAAUAAUGUAGGAAAUGGAUGGUAUUUCUUAUUCAGCAAUCAGAAAAAUUCGUAAUAUUUUGCCUCCUCUUUGACUCUCGGGCUCCUAGCUUAGGCGCUUGCUCACACAGAAUUUCCAUCAGAGAAGAUGAAAGAUGCAGGUGCACUUUUACAGGGAACAUUAUCUGGUAGCCUGUUAUUUGAAUAACAUUUUAAAAGACUGCAUUAGAGAAGAUAGAAAAUGGGGAGAAGAUAGAAAAUGAGGGAAAGAGCCCAGGUUUGUUCAUGUAUUUGUAUGAUUUCAUCAGUUGCCCAUUGCAGAGAAUAAAAUAUGUCUUAAGAAGAAAUAAUUCAGUAAAAAGAGAAAAAAACAGAAAAUUAAACCUUGACGUAUUAGUAAAUUCGGGAAUCUGGUUUGCAAUCUCUCUCCCUCUCCACCUCUCUCCAUCCUAUGAGAGAGAAAGAGAGAGAAUGGCUGCCACCACUACUGGUAACAUCUCUUUGAAAAAUGUGCAUACUUACUAGGACCGUCUUGCAUUCAUGCAAAUAUCUUUUUCUUCAAUAAACGACAAAAAAAUCAAUCUUUACAUUUUCUCGUGGCCUACAAUUGAUUCUUGGCUCAAGAUUUCAUUGGCUUUAUGACUUUAUGGAUGAAUUGUGCAUUAGUUUAACACCUGGAUUAUAGUUGUUUUUAUUGUUGUUGUUGUCGUCUUGGAGAGAUAAAAAAAUAGAAAUAUAUUAAAUUUCUUUCCAUUCAUGGUCUUUUAAAAUCCUUAUCUUGAUGAUUUUACUCAUCAUCUCAGUGGUGAUAGUUAUUAUUUGGAUGAUUUGAUAGUCAACAUGGGUUAACUCAACCUAAACCUUUGAGAGGAUGAGAAUCAUUUUAUUGGAACGACACAGCAACAGAGGAGGAAAAAAGUGGCAUCAUUCGGAUUUCUUUAAGAAAAUCCCUGGGUGUUGGACAAAGCUGUACAAAACAUUGUCCAUCAACUGCUUUCACGCCAAGCGUAGGCACACACUCCUUGACUGUUUUUUGCUGUUGCUGAUAUAGUUGUGUGUUUCCCUGAAGUAAGCCCGCCUCCAUGUGUUUUUAGUGUCUGUUAAACUGAUUCUCCAUAAAUGCUUAGGGAACAGACUUUGAGUUUGAGGAACAAUUUCCCUUUGGUUGCAUUUAGUUGUGUCACAUUAUGGAAUUCCUUUUCCUCCUCUGCCUUUCAAAAAGGUCGCUCUCCAUAGAGAUAUUGAAUGGUUCCUGCAUUUGGGAUUUUGCUUCAGCACAGCCAGCUUGUGCUGAAGAUCUGGAGGGCGUGGCUGGAGUUCCCAGUGAAUGAUGGCCUUUGUUACAGUGAAAUGAGAUGUGGGCACUUAUGAAAUCCCUCUGGAAUGUCAGUUCACUUUAUGACUUUUCUACUUAGGAAAAGCUAAAAACCUUACGGUGAAACUUCAAAUCUAAAAAACUGUUAAGAUAGUUAAGUGCCAUUUGAAUUUUAAUUCAAAAUCAGUUUCUUUUAAAUACACCAAAAUUGAUGUCAAUGCUGAGUUUUUUAGAAAAGAGAAUAAUCAUGAUUGAUAAUGUCAUAGUA
Molecule: long non-coding RNA, 2884 nt
Organism: Talpa occidentalis (Iberian mole)
Lineage: Eukaryota; Metazoa; Chordata; Mammalia; Eulipotyphla; Talpidae
Exons: 3
Source: RefSeq, a predicted model, not a curated record